GAUGAACGCUGGCGGCGUGCCUAAUACAUGCAAGUCGAGCGAACAGAUAAGGAGCUUCCUCCUUUGACGUUAGCGGCGGACGGGUGAGUAACACGUGGGUAACCUACCUAUAAGACUGGAAUAACUCCGGGAAACCGGGGCUAAUGCCGGAUAACAUUUAGAACCGCAUGGUUCUAAAGUGAAAGAUGGUUUUGCUAUCACUUAUAGAUGGACCCGCGCCGUAUUAGCUAGUUGGUAAGGUAACGGCUUACCAAGGCAACGAUACGUAGCCGACCUGAGAGGGUGAUCGGCCACACUGGAACUGAGACACGGUCCAGACUCCUACGGGAGGCAGCAGUAGGGAAUCUUCCGCAAUGGGCGAAAGCCUGACGGAGCAACGCCGCGUGAGUGAUGAAGGUCUUCGGAUCGUAAAACUCUGUUAUUAGGGAAGAACAAAUGUGUAAGUAACUGUGCACGUCUUGACGGUACCUAAUCAGAAAGCCACGGCUAACUACGUG
RNAcentral lists this ribosomal RNA (497 nucleotides) under uncultured bacterium. RNAcentral's name for it is "partial 16S ribosomal RNA". It matches the Rfam family "Bacterial small subunit ribosomal RNA", at positions 28 to 507 of the family's 1533-position model. The record is from RNAcentral.